UGUUUCGGCUAGGGGGCCAUCCCGGCUUACCAACCCGAUGCAAACUGCGAAUACCGGAGAAUGUUAUCACGGGAGACACACGGCGGGUGCUAACGUCCGUCGUGAAGAGGGAAACAACCCAGACCGCCAGCUAAGGUCCCAAAGUCAUGGUUAAGUGGGAAACGAUGUGGGAAGGCCCAGACAGCCAGGAUGUUGGCUUAGAAGCAGCCAUCAUUUAAAGAAAGCGUAAUAGCUCACUGGUCGAGUCGGCCUGCGCGGAAGAUGUAACGGGGCUAAACCAUGCACCGAAGCUGCGGCAGCGACACUGUGUGUUGUUGGGUAGGGGAGCGUUCUGUAAGCCUGCGAAGGUGGCCUGUGAGGGUUGCUGGAGGUAUCAGAAGUGCGAAUGCUGACAUAAGUAACGAUAAAGCGGGUGAAAAGCCCGCUCGCCGGAAGACCAAGGGUUCCUGUCCAACGUUAAUCGGGGCAGGGUGAGUCGACCCCUAAGGCGAGGCCGAAAGGCGUAGUCGAUGGGAAACGGGUUAAUAUUCCCGUACUUGGUGUUACUGCGAAGGGGGGACGGAGAAGGCUAUGUUGGCCGGGCGACGGUUGUCCCGGUUUAAGCGUGUAGGCUGGUUUUCCAGGCAAAUCCGGAAAAUCAAGGCUGAGGCGUGACGACGAGGCACUACGGUGCUGAAGCAACAAAUGCCCUGCUUCCAGGAAAAGCCUCUAAGCAUCAGGUAACAUCAAAUCGUACCCCAAACCGACACAGGUGGUCAGGUAGAGAAUACCAAGGCGCUUGAGAGAACUCGGGUGAAGGAACUAGGCAAAAUGGUGCCGUAACUUCGGGAGAAGGCACGCUGACAUGUAGGUGAAGUGAUUUACUCAUGGAGCUGAAGUCAGUCGAAGAUACCAGCUGGCUGCAACUGUUUAUUAAAAACACAGCACUGUGCAAACACGAAAGUGGACGUAUACGGUGUGACGCCUGCCCGGUGCCGGAAGGUUAAUUGAUGGGGUCAGCGCAAGCGAAGCUCCUGAUCGAAGCCCCGGUAAACGGCGGCCGUAACUAUAACGGUCCUAAGGUAGCGAAAUUCCUUGUCGGGUAAGUUCCGACCUGCACGAAUGGCGUAAUGAUGGCCAGGCUGUCUCCACCCGAGACUCAGUGAAAUUGAACUCGCUGUGAAGAUGCAGUGUACCCGCGGCAAGACGGAAAGACCCCGUGAACCUUUACUAUAGCUUGACACUGAACAUUGAGCCUUGAUGUGUAGGAUAGGUGGGAGGCUUUGAAGUGUGGACGCCAGUCUGCAUGGAGCCGGCCUUGAAAUACCACCCUUUAAUGUUUGAUGUUCUAACGUGGACCCGUAAUCCGGGUUGCGGACAGUGUCUGGUGGGUAGUUUGACUGGGGCGGUCUCCUCCUAAAGAGUAACGGAGGAGCACGAAGGUUGGCUAAUCCUGGUCGGACAUCAGGAGGUUAGUGCAAUGGCAUAAGCCAGCUUGACUGCGAGCGUGACGGCGCGAGCAGGUGCGAAAGCAGGUCAUAGUGAUCCGGUGGUUCUGAAUGGAAGGGCCAUCGCUCAACGGAUAAAAGGUACUCCGGGGAUAACAGGCUGAUACCGCCCAAGAGUUCAUAUCGACGGCGGUGUUUGGCACCUCGAUGUCGGCUCAUCACAUCCUGGGGCUGAAGUAGGUCCCAAGGGUAUGGCUGUUCGCCAUUUAAAGUGGUACGCGAGCUGGGUUUAGAACGUCGUGAGACAGUUCGGUCCCUAUCUGCCGUGGGCGCUGGAGAACUGAGGGGGGCUGCUCCUAGUACGAGAGGACCGGAGUGGACGCAUCACUGGUGUUCGGGUUGUCAUGCCAAUGGCACUGCCCGGUAGCUAAAUGCGGAAGAGAUAAGUGCUGAAAGCAUCUAAGCACGAAACUUGCCCCGAG
Molecule: ribosomal RNA, 1909 nt
Filed under: Salmonella enterica subsp. enterica serovar Glostrup
Lineage: Bacteria; Pseudomonadati; Pseudomonadota; Gammaproteobacteria; Enterobacterales; Enterobacteriaceae
Description: partial 23S ribosomal RNA
Rfam family: Bacterial large subunit ribosomal RNA
Source: RNAcentral